RNAcentral lists this unclassified non-coding RNA (471 nucleotides) under Hevea brasiliensis (rubber tree). The record is from RNAcentral. Lineage: Eukaryota; Viridiplantae; Streptophyta; Magnoliopsida; Malpighiales; Euphorbiaceae.
GCUGCGACUACUUUUGUAUCAAGUCACUGGAUUAAGUCUUGUCUGGAGGAUGGAUGCUUGCUGGAUGUUGGUGAUCACAUCCUUUAUUCUCCACUUCCAUGCCGAGUUCCUUUCCCUGCAUUUAAGAGUUUUCGCUUAUGUGUUUCACAGUAUGAUGAGAAAGAAAGACAGUUGCUAAGAAAUUUGUGUUUUACUAUUGGAGCCAAAUUUGUUGAGAAAUUAACUAAAAAGGUCACACAUUUGUUGUGUAAAUUUACCGAUGGCCCGAAAUAUGAGGCUGCAUGUAAGUGGGGAAUACAACCAGUCACGUGUGAGUGGAUUUAUGAGUGUAUCAAGCAGAACAAAAUUGUUUCUGCAGAUCCAUUUUAUCCUAAAGAAGUCACCUCUGAAGAUCGAGAAGCUGGGGCAUGCACGGUGAGCCAGUUCCCCACACAAGCUUUUGGGAUGAUAUCUGGUGAUACCACAUCCCAG